RNAcentral lists this non-coding RNA (148 nucleotides) under Homo sapiens (human). Lineage: Eukaryota; Metazoa; Chordata; Mammalia; Primates; Hominidae. The record is from Rfam by way of RNAcentral.
GCUAGGCAUGGUGGUGCAUGCCUGUAGUCCCAGCCACUCAGGAGGCUGAUGCGGGAGGAUCGCUUGAGCCCAGGAGGUUGAGGCUGUAGUGAGCUAUGAUGGCACCAUUGCACUCCAGCCUGGGUGACAGAGCAAGACCCUGUCUCUU